Molecule: long non-coding RNA, 1870 nt
Organism: Cavia porcellus (domestic guinea pig)
Lineage: Eukaryota; Metazoa; Chordata; Mammalia; Rodentia; Caviidae
Exons: 3
Source: RefSeq, a predicted model, not a curated record
AAAAAAAAAAAAAAUCCAAAGCCUUGUGACCCUAAGUAAUAACUGCUGGCACUUAGGAGUAAUAUAUUCUCAUAAAGUGUUGAGCUCAGGAUUUUACAUGCUAUUUCUAUGUAUAGACAACAGAGACAGAAAGAUCAAGUUGCUAAGCCAGGGCUAUAUAUAGCAAAGAGGAACACUAGCAUUCCAAACAACAUAGUUUGAGUCUGAAGUUCAUGCCUUUAGCCACUAGCCUGCAGGAUUUCUCCAUGUGAAUAAACUCAGUGGAAUAUAGUCGGCUUUCUGGAUGGGUUUAGACAUCUUGUACUUGUAGCUCCAGGCAGUAAUGAGAUGUUCUGCUCACUACUGUCUCUUCUCAAGCUCUGUCGAAGUGCACAAAGAUUCCAUAUGGGGAGGAUUCGGAGUCGGCUGUGGAGAGAUGUGUUGCUGCGGAGGAGGAGGAGAAGGACAUCCGAAGAGUCCACUGAUUUUUUUUCUCUACUGGCAUAUGUGCCUGAUGCUGGGCUUAGCUCUGAUCUUGAGGGCCAGUAACGAGUAGAAGAGAUGCACAAAGGAAGAGAAGGAAAGAAAGGUAAUGAAGCUGCAUGGAGUAUCUGGCAAGCCACGACAGAAGAGUUUUCAAAUCAACUGCUGAGAUUCUGGAAGAGGUCCGUGCUACCUGUAGAAGAGAAGACCUUUCAAAAUGCAUGUGUUGGAAUGCUCCUGGUCAUGGAGAGCAGAUGUACACUUGCCUAUCUGUCAUCGCCAUGAGAAGGACAGGCUUGAGUCAUACUUCAGAAGAAGAAAGCUGAGAGAUGUGUGGAAUGCCGCUGGGCCUCCUAAGGCUUCCUUGUCUCCAGCCAAACCUAUCCCACAGUGAAGCCCCACUCUGAACACCGGGUAUAAAAGUGAGCCCCGCGUCAAUGGACUUUACAUACAUCCAUCUCACCAACUCACAAGUGUGGGAACUGCAGUAGUUAAGGAUUGAUCAUAAAGCCACUGAUGUUGAGUGAGGUUGCAACCCAGUAGGUAACUGAUUCAUUAAUCUUUUAAGGGGCUGACCUAGUGGAACAAGCUGUGGGACAAUGGGACAUUGAAGAAUUGCUGGGUGGGGCAGGGCAGGACCUGCAGGAAGGCAGGCAUGCAUCUCCCAUACCUACAUACUUCCCAGUAUCCCAUGAAGGUAUUUCUGACUUGAUUUAGAAAGGAACGGCUUUUGAGGCAUGAGUCUUUUUUUUUUUCUCCCACUGGAAGGAACGUUCUCUAGGGUUGUAUGAGACUGAAAUUCGGUUUUACCUAACUAGUUCUGGUGGCCAUGAGAAUGCACCCCCAGAACCUACAGAGAAUGUGACACACCGGUCAGUCUACCGCCUUUGACAUCUACUAUUUUUCUGGAAUUGAGAUCAGGUCCUCUCUGGGCUGAUCUGCCUGAUAAAGGAGUGUGAAGGGGGGCAAGAGAAUUUAUUGGUCUGACCUCUGCAUUGUAGUUAAGAAAUUCUUUUCCUCAGUGCUGGGGGCUCAUGGACUCUGGGUAAUUUUUCCCAAGCUUCCCUACGUGGAAGGCAGUCUGGAGGAUGUUCUUUCCCAGUUUUCUCUCCCUGACUUCUUCAUUCUCUUGCAGAGUUGCAGUGGUAUCUGCCCCACCCAUCCCCUCCAGGCCCAGCCCUUUUAGGUCCUUCCUGUUCCUGUCUCUCUACACAAUACAAUUACUGCACAUUUAAUCCCAUUGUUGGAGCUACUGUUUGAGAACCCAUAAACAUUAGCCUGCAUGUCAGUUUCUUCCUGAAUAAACUAGAUCCUACUCUAUAGGAAUGUAGUACUAUUUAAAUGAACCACUGAAUUUAAAGCAUAAUUGUACAGUGACCAACAUCCAGUAAACACUGAAUUAACUAUU